RNAcentral lists this ribosomal RNA (2902 nucleotides) under Escherichia coli. Its description in RNAcentral is "bacterial LSU rRNA". It matches the Rfam family "Bacterial large subunit ribosomal RNA". The record is from RNAcentral. Lineage: Bacteria; Pseudomonadati; Pseudomonadota; Gammaproteobacteria; Enterobacterales; Enterobacteriaceae.
UUAAGCGACUAAGCGUACACGGUGGAUGCCCUGGCAGUCAGAGGCGAUGAAGGACGUGCUAAUCUGCGAUAAGCGUCGGUGAGGUGAUAUGAACCGUUAUAACCGGCGAUUUCCGAAUGGGGAAACCCAGUGUGUUUCGACACACUAUCAUUAACUGAAUCCAUAGGUUAAUGAGGCGAACCGGGGGAACUGAAACAUCUAAGUACCCCGAGGAAAAGAAAUCAACCGAGAUUCCCCCAGUAGCGGCGAGCGAACGGGGAGGAGCCCAGAGCCUGAAUCAGUGUGUGUGUUAGUGGAAGCGUCUGGAAAGGCGUGCGAUACAGGGUGACAGCCCCGUACACAAAAAUGCACAUAUUGUGAGCUCGAUGAGUAGGGCGGGACACGUGGUAUCCUGUCUGAAUAUGGGGGGACCAUCCUCCAAGGCUAAAUACUCCUGACUGACCGAUAGUGAACCAGUACCGUGAGGGAAAGGCGAAAAGAACCCCGGCGAGGGGAGUGAAAAAGAACCUGAAACCGUGUACGUACAAGCAGUGGGAGCCUCUUAAUGGGGUGACUGCGUACCUUUUGUAUAAUGGGUCAGCGACUUAUAUUCUGUAGCAAGGUUAACCGAAUAGGGGAGCCGAAGGGAAACCGAGUCUUAACUGGGCGUUAAGUUGCAGGGUAUAGACCCGAAACCCGGUGAUCUAGCCAUGGGCAGGUUGAAGGUUGGGUAACACUAACUGGAGGACCGAACCGACUAAUGUUGAAAAAUUAGCGGAUGACUUGUGGCUGGGGGUGAAAGGCCAAUCAAACCGGGAGAUAGCUGGUUCUCCCCGAAAGCUAUUUAGGUAGCGCCUCGUGAAUUCAUCUCCGGGGGUAGAGCACUGUUUCGGCAAGGGGGUCAUCCCGACUUACCAACCCGAUGCAAACUGCGAAUACCGGAGAAUGUUAUCACGGGAGACACACGGCGGGUGCUAACGUCCGUCGUGAAGAGGGAAACAACCCAGACCGCCAGCUAAGGUCCCAAAGUCAUGGUUAAGUGGGAAACGAUGUGGGAAGGCCCAGACAGCCAGGAUGUUGGCUUAGAAGCAGCCAUCAUUUAAAGAAAGCGUAAUAGCUCACUGGUCGAGUCGGCCUGCGCGGAAGAUGUAACGGGGCUAAACCAUGCACCGAAGCUGCGGCAGCGACACUAUGUGUUGUUGGGUAGGGGAGCGUUCUGUAAGCCUGUGAAGGUGGCCUGUGAGGGUUGCUGGAGGUAUCAGAAGUGCGAAUGCUGACAUAAGUAACGAUAAAGCGGGUGAAAAGCCCGCUCGCCGGAAGACCAAGGGUUCCUGUCCAACGUUAAUCGGGGCAGGGUGAGUCGACUCCUAAGGCGAGGCCGAAAGGCGUAGUCGAUGGGAAACAGGUUAAUAUUCCUGUACUUGGUGUUACUGCGAAGGGGGGACGGAGAAGGCUAUGUUGGCCGGGCGACGGUUGUCCCGGUUUAAGCGUGUAGGCUGGUUUUCCAGGCAAAUCCGGAAAACCAAGGCUGAGGCGUGAUGACGAGGCACUACGGUGCUGAAGUGACAAAUGCCCUGCUUCCAGGAAAAGCCUCUAAGCAUCAGGUAACAUCAAAUCGUACCCCAAACCGACACAGGUGGUCAGGUAGAGAAUACCAAGGCGCUUGAGAGAACUCGGGUGAAGGAACUAGGCAAAAUGGUGCCGUAACUUCGGGAGAAGGCACGCUGAUAUGUAGGUGAAGCGACUUGCUCGUGGAGCUGAAAUCAGUCGAAGAUACCAGCUGGCUGCAACUGUUUAUUAAAAACACAGCACUGUGCAAACACGAAAGUGGACGUAUACGGUGUGACGCCUGCCCGGUGCCGGAAGGUUAAUUGAUGGGGUUAGCGGUAACGCGAAGCUCUUGAUCGAAGCCCCGGUAAACGGCGGCCGUAACUAUAACGGUCCUAAGGUAGCGAAAUUCCUUGUCGGGUAAGUUCCGACCUGCACGAAUGGCGUAAUGAUGGCCAGGCUGUCUCCACCCGAGACUCAGUGAAAUUGAACUCGCUGUGAAGAUGCAGUGUACCCGCGGCAAGACGGAAAGACCCCGUGAACCUUUACUAUAGCUUGACACUGAACAUUGAGCCUUGAUGUGUAGGAUAGGUGGGAGGCUUUGAAGUGUGGACGCCAGUCUGCAUGGAGCCGACCUUGAAAUACCACCCUUUAAUGUUUGAUGUUCUAACGUUGGCCCGUAAUCCGGGUUGCGGACAGUGUCUGGUGGGUAGUUUGACUGGGGCGGUCUCCUCCUAAAGAGUAACGGAGGAGCACGAAGGUUGGCUAAUCCUGGUCGGACAUCAGGAGGUUAGUGCAAUGGCAUAAGCCAGCUUGACUGCGAGCGUGACGGCGCGAGCAGGUGCGAAAGCAGGUCAUAGUGAUCCGGUGGUUCUGAAUGGAAGGGCCAUCGCUCAACGGAUAAAAGGUACUCCGGGGAUAACAGGCUGAUACCGCCCAAGAGUUCAUAUCGACGGCGGUGUUUGGCACCUCGAUGUCGGCUCAUCACAUCCUGGGGCUGAAGUAGGUCCCAAGGGUAUGGCUGUUCGCCAUUUAAAGUGGUACGCGAGCUGGGUUUAGAACGUCGUGAGACAGUUCGGUCCCUAUCUGCCGUGGGCGCUGGAGAACUGAGGGGGGCUGCUCCUAGUACGAGAGGACCGGAGUGGACGCAUCACUGGUGUUCGGGUUGUCAUGCCAAUGGCACUGCCCGGUAGCUAAAUGCGGAAGAGAUAAGUGCUGAAAGCAUCUAAGCACGAAACUUGCCCCGAGAUGAGUUCUCCCUGAGACUUAGAGUCUCCUGAAGGAACGUUGAAGACGACGACGUUGAUAGGCCGGGUGUGUAAGCGCAGCGAUGCGUUGAGCUAACCGGUACUAAUGAACCGUGAGGCUUAACCUU